Molecule: ribosomal RNA, 477 nt
Filed under: uncultured bacterium
Lineage: Bacteria
Description: bacterial SSU rRNA
Rfam family: Bacterial small subunit ribosomal RNA
Source: RNAcentral
UUCGCAAUGCCCGAAAGGGUGACGAAGCGACGCCGCGUGUGGGAAGAAGGCCUUCGGGUUGUAAACCACUGUCAGGAGUUAAGAAGUGCAAGAGUGUGAAUAGCACUUUUGCUUGACUAAGGCUCCAGAGGAAGCCACGGCUAACUCUGUGCCAGCAGCCGCGGUAAUACAGAGGCGGCAAGCGUUGUUCGGAAUUAUUGGGCGUAAAGAGCACGUAGGCGGCUCUAUAAGUCAGCUGUGAAAGCCUUCUGCUUAACGGAAGAACAGCAGUUGAAACUGUAGAGCUUGAGUGCGGGAGGGGAGAGUGGAACUUCUGGUGGAGCGGUGAAAUGCGUAGAUAUCAGAAGGAACGCCGGCGGCGAAAGCGGCUCUCUGGCCCGUAACUGACGCUGAGUGUGCGAAAGCUAGGGGAGCAAACGGGAUUAGAUACCCCGGUAGUCCUAGCCGUAAACGAUGGGCACUAAGUAGAGGGGUUUU